RNAcentral lists this ribosomal RNA (697 nucleotides) under uncultured Staphylococcus sp. Its description in RNAcentral is "bacterial SSU rRNA". It matches the Rfam family "Bacterial small subunit ribosomal RNA", at positions 87 to 771 of the family's 1533-position model. Lineage: Bacteria; Bacillati; Bacillota; Bacilli; Caryophanales; Staphylococcaceae. The record is from RNAcentral.
UGAUGUUAGCGGCGGACGGGUGAGUAACACGUGGAUAACCUACCUAUAAGACUGGGAUAACUUCGGGAAACCGGAGCUAAUACCGGAUAAUAUAUUGAACCGCAUGAUUCAAUAGUGAAAGACGGUUUUGCUGUCACUUAUAGAUGGAUCCGCGCCGCAUUAGCUAGUUGGUAAGGUAACGGCUUACCAAGGCAACGAUGCGUAGCCGACCUGAGAGGGUGAUCGGCCACACUGGAACUGAGACACGGUCCAGACUCCUACGGGAGGCAGCAGUAGGGAAUCUUCCGCAAUGGGCGAAAGCCUGACGGAGCAACGCCGCGUGAGUGAUGAAGGUCUUCGGAUCGUAAAACUCUGUUAUUAGGGAAGAACAAAUGUGUAAGUAACUAUGCACGUCUUGACGGUACCUAAUCAGAAAGCCACGGCUAACUACGUGCCAGCAGCCGCGGUAAUACGUAGGUGGCAAGCGUUAUCCGGAAUUAUUGGGUGUAAAGCGCGCGUAGGCGGUUUUUUAAGUCUGAUGUGAAAGCCCACGGCUCAACCGUGGAGGGUCAUUGGAAACUGGAAAACUUGAGUGCAGAAGAGGAAAGUGGAAUUCCAUGUGUAGCGGUGAAAUGCGCAGAGAUAUGGAGGAACACCAGUGGCGAAGGCGACUUUCUGGUCUGUAACUGACGCUGAUGUGCGAAAGCGUGGGGAUCAA